CCUUCAAAGCUGAGUACCUCCUAGAGCACCUCCAGCAUUUGAAGGAAAUAGAGUUUCCAUACCUAAUCUAGGACUAUAUGACUAUAUCAGAGUAUGCUUGAAGGUUCCUAGAGUUGGAACGGUAUUCCCUUGAGAGCAUGAUGGUUAAAGGUAGGAAGACAAAGGAGUUCGAGUGGGGCCUCUAUUUUGAGAUUAGACAGUAAUUGUAUGUAUUUGAGCUCAAUACUUACUCA
RNAcentral lists this long non-coding RNA (233 nucleotides) under Carica papaya (papaya). Its description in RNAcentral is "long non-coding RNA (CPAP_LNC014826)". The record is from RNAcentral. Lineage: Eukaryota; Viridiplantae; Streptophyta; Magnoliopsida; Brassicales; Caricaceae.